CAGCCGCCGCGGUAAUACGUAGGUCCCGAGCGUUGUCCGGAUUUAUUGGGCGUAAGGCGAGCGCAGGCGGUUAGAUAAGUCUGAAGUUAAAGGCUGUGGCUUAACCAUAGUACGCUUUGGAAACUGUUUAACUUGAGUGCAAGAGGGGAGAGUGGAAUUCCAUGCGUAGCGGUGAAAUGCGUAGAUAUAUGGAGGAACACCGGUGGCGAAAGCGGCUCUCUGGCUUGUAACUGACGCUGAGGCUCGAAAGCGUGGGGAGCAAACAGGAUUAGAGACCCGCGUAGUCCCUGUCUCUUAUACA
RNAcentral lists this ribosomal RNA (301 nucleotides) under uncultured bacterium. RNAcentral describes it as "partial 16S ribosomal RNA". It matches the Rfam family "Bacterial small subunit ribosomal RNA", at positions 509 to 808 of the family's 1533-position model. The record is from RNAcentral.